RNAcentral lists this transfer RNA (90 nucleotides) under Dreissena polymorpha. It matches the Rfam family "tRNA". From Rfam's summary of the family: Transfer RNA (tRNA) molecules are approximately 80 nucleotides in length. Lineage: Eukaryota; Metazoa; Mollusca; Bivalvia; Myida; Dreissenidae. The record is from Rfam by way of RNAcentral.
GCCGCAAUAGCUCAGUUGGGAGAGCGUUAGACUGAAGUUGUUUACGCAACAGCCAUCUAAAGGCCCCCGGUUCAAACCCGGGUUCCAGAA